Molecule: ribosomal RNA, 503 nt
Filed under: uncultured bacterium
Lineage: Bacteria
Description: partial 16S ribosomal RNA
Rfam family: Bacterial small subunit ribosomal RNA
Source: RNAcentral
AUUGAACGCUGGCGGCAGGCUUAACACAUGCAAGUCGAGCGGGGUGAUGGUGCUUGCACUAUCACUUAGCGGCGGACGGGUGAGUAAUGCUUAGGAAUCUGCCUAUUAGUGGGGGACAACAUCUCGAAAGGGAUGCUAAUACCGCAUAAGUCCUACGGGAGAAAGCAGGGGAUCACUUGUGACCUUGCGCUAAUAGAUGAGACUAAGUCGGAUUAGCUAGUUGGUGGGGUAAAGGCCUACCAAGGCGACGAUCUGUAGCGGGUCUGAGAGGAUGAUCCGCCACACUGGGACUGAGACACGGCCCAGACUCCUACGGGAGGCAGCAGUGGGGAAUAUUGGACAAUGGGGGGAACCCUGAUCCAGCCAUGCCGCGUGUGUGAAGAAGGCCUUAUGGUUGUAAAGCACUUUAAGCGAGGAGGAGGCUCUUUUGGUCAAUACCCAAGAUGAGUGGACGUUACUCGCAGAAUAAGCACCGGCUAACUCUGUGCCAGCAGCCGCAGUAA